This is a non-coding RNA of Poecilia reticulata (guppy), 1324 nucleotides long. Lineage: Eukaryota; Metazoa; Chordata; Actinopteri; Cyprinodontiformes; Poeciliidae. The record is from RefSeq and is a predicted model, not a curated record.
GUUUUCUAAGCAGAGCCAUGCAUUUAUUAGUCGAAAUGUGCAUUUCAUAAAAGCAGUAGUGUUGUGUGCCUUAAAUAUCGCUGAUUUUCCGUAUGUUAUGAAGAUUUUAACGUCACAGAUCAAAUACUCCUUUAAAUAAACCACAACCUUCAAGUCAACAAUGAGCAAAACGCAGCUGCCUGUUCCUUGGGCUGAACUCAAGAAAAGCCUAUCAGUAAACCAGCAGACCAUGUCUUCAUUUCUUCCCACAGAUCAAAAACAGCCUGACUCGAGUCCUCCCUUAGCUUCAGUAAAACUUAGUCAUUUCACACGCAAAGGCUUUUCAUUGGGAUUACGGCUGGCCAAGGCAGCUCUUGGCCAAGCCCACCGCAAUGCCAAGGAAAAACACUUGACAUGAUUGAGUAAGCAGAAACCAGCCAGAACAUUCCCGCAGCUCUGACCGCCUGGAUAAAGACUUAUCUCCUUCACCAUCUUGUCCAGAGGGAUGUGCCUUGUAAAAAGGAUUUGACUAUAUCAGUUAAAGUGCGGAUAAGAUCAUAUGAGCUUCCUGCAAGGGACUGAUGUGGGGAAUAAAACAGGAUAUCUACAAUCAAAUUCCCGAGGGAAGAGACGGGGAGCACAGAAGUCUUGACCCCACGAGAGGACGACGCUUGAUGAACGACCGCGGAAGGUCAGACCUCUGAUUGGUAUUCAGCCUCCUCCGUCUGAGAGUGCUGAACCAAAACACCCAUGUCUGUCCCCCAGAGUGCAAAUUACAAUGCUGACUUUGAUAGAUACUCAGUGUUGGCGGAUUCUGAACUUUCCCUGAGAGGGUAUAACGAGAGUGCAGUCUAAAGUGGGCGGAGGGACGCCCCAGGUAAUCUGUCACCCACUGCGCCUCUGACAGACUCGGAGUUGGGUGGACGAUGCUGAUGGAUGAAUAACCUUUGGGCGUUUUUACUGGAAUUAACGAUGAGGUGUGAAGUAACUAAAGACGGCGUACGGAAUCCUCGACUAUACCAUCAUCCCUCUUUCUUCCUCUUCGGACUCCACUAACUUACAGUGGGGUCACAGACAGUUCUCAGCAGCAGAGAGUGGAGCAGUUUGACCUUUAAAGGGUGUCUCAAGACAUUGGCCAGAGAGCUUCCUGUGACUGAAGAGCGCAAGAAUACGGGGGGGAAAAGGGGCAUCAUUUUCACUGCCUGUACCCUUGGAUAUUAGUAAUUUCACAUUUAAUAAUAGAGGGACAAUUAUGAUCAGAAGAGUAAUCCGCCUUCCAGGGUAUCAAGGUGCUGGUUGGCCCCAGGCGUUCCUUGAGAUUUUUUUUUGUGUGUGUGUGUGUGUG